Acanthosepion pharaonis is the source of this 105-nucleotide non-coding RNA. NCBI's taxonomy places the organism in Eukaryota, Metazoa, Mollusca, Cephalopoda, Sepiida, Sepiidae. The record is from the annotation of a GenBank genome assembly.
UUACGGCUAUAUCACGUUCAUACACCAGUUCUUGCACGACCACCGAAGUUAAGCAACGUCGGGCCUGGUCAGUGCCAAGAUGUGUGACCAUUUGGGAAUACCAGG